Molecule: ribosomal RNA, 441 nt
Filed under: uncultured bacterium
Lineage: Bacteria
Description: partial 16S ribosomal RNA
Rfam family: Bacterial small subunit ribosomal RNA
Source: RNAcentral
CCUACGGGAGGCAGCAGUGGGGAAUAUUGCACAAUGGGCGAAAGCCUGAUGCAGCAACGCCGCGUGAAGGAAGAAGGCCUUCGGGUCGUAAACUUCUGUCCUUGGGGAAGAAGGACUGACGGUACCCAAGGUGGAAGCCCCGGCGAACUACGUGCCAGCAGCCGCGGUAAUACGUAGGGGGCAAGCGCUAUCCGGAUUGAUUGGGCGUAAAGAGUACGUAGGUGGCAACCUAAGCGCUGGGUUUAAGGCAAUGGCUCAACCAUAGUUCGCCCUGCGAACUGGGAUGCUUGAGUGCAGGGGAGGAGAGCGGAAUUCCAAGUGUAGCGGUGAAAUGCGUAGAUAUUAGGAGGAACACCGGUGGCGAAGGCGGCUUUCUGGACUGUAACUGACGCUGAGGUACGAAAGCGUGGGGAGCAAACAGGAUUAGAUACCCGGGUAGUC